Molecule: ribosomal RNA, 468 nt
Filed under: uncultured bacterium
Lineage: Bacteria
Description: partial 16S ribosomal RNA
Rfam family: Bacterial small subunit ribosomal RNA (bases 58-468)
Source: RNAcentral
GGGGGGGGGGGGGGGGGGGCGGGGGAGGGGGGGGGGGGAGGGGGGGGGGGGGGUGGGGGGGGGUGCUCGAGGGGCGAACGGGUGGGGAACGCGUGAGUAACCUGCCCUUGACUUUGGGAGAACUUCAGGAAACUGGGGCUAAUACCGGAUAGGAGCUCCUGCUGCAUGGUGGGGGGUGGAAAGUUUCGGCGGUUGGGGAUGGACUCGCGGCUUAUCAGCGUGUUGGUGGGGUAGUGGCUUACCAAGGCUUUGACGGGUAGCCGGCCUGAGAGGGUGACCGGCCCCAUUGGGACUGAGAUACGGCCCAGACUCCUACGGGAGGCAGCAGUGGGGAAUAUUGCACAAUGGGCGGAAGCCUGAUGCAGCAACGCCGCGUGCGGGAUGACGGCCUUCGGGUUGUAAACCGCUUUCGCCUGUGACGAAGCGUGAGUGACGGUAAUGGGUAAAGAAGCACCGGCUAACUACGUG